AUGGCGGAGCUGCCGGGCCCAGCCCUGGGCAGGAUACGGCGCUCCCGCCCCCCCUUUGUACCCGCCCCUUCCACCCCCCUUUCCGACGCUGUCAUGGAGGAACCGGUAGGGCCUUUUCAUUUGCUCCGAGCCGAGACUGGCCGAUUCCUCUGCUACUGCGGACCCGACGGCACUGUCUUUGUGACCGACGCGAUGGAGGUCUGGGCCGGGGAGCUCGGUGGCUGCCCGGUGCGCGGCUGUCGGUGCUCGCCGGAGGAGCGCGGCGCGAUGCUCAGGGCCGCCCUGGGUCAUGGGGCCGCCGCGCUGAGCCUGGGUCCGGAUUCGGCCAUGCUGCGGCUGCCGGAGGAGCCGCGGUGCCCGGCCCUGGCCCUCGCCCAGCUGCCCGCCGCCGAGGCGCGCAGCCAGUUGCAGGCGCUGAUCUUCGGCAUGGCCGGCUGCAUCGAGAGCCUGGAGAGGCGCCUGGAAGCCCUGAGAAGAACACUGUCCGGAGCCAGCAGCUCUUCCUGCCAGGUAGGCACUGCCAGGGACACCUGCCCUGCUCCCACAGUCUUUUGUCUUCUCCUCCCUGGAAGCUGCUGGUCCCUGUAUCCACGUGCUCUUCAGGACACUCUGAGUGCCCUUGACUGUGGCUGCUGGCAGCCACCCGUUGUCCUGGUGCUCUUCUGUCAGAGCAGGGGCAGUGCUUAAUAUGAUGGCUCUCAGAGUGUCUGGGAUGCUCAGGUCAAAGGCUGGGCAUUGCCAACCUCAGAAGGAGGGCAGACUUUGCUGUGCUUCCAGGCUGGAGGCUGUGGCGGAUCCAUGGUUCCUUUUGGGAGGAGGCCAAGUUUGGCCCUUUCUUGCCCUCUGUGGCUGCUGGUCCUGCCAGGCUGGGCUCCCAGAGGCUCCCCCUGGUCCUGGAGGGACUGGGAGGGCUGCCAGAGCUCCUGGGUAACUUGUAAUCUGUGUACUGCCUGUUCAUGACUGAGGUAGACCCCAGCCCCAGGAAGAGUAGUGCUUCUGGCUCAGCUUUGCCAGCCAAAAGGAAGGUCCAUGGGGAGUCUCUCAUUAACCCUGGUUUCAAAAGCAAGAGGGCGCCAUCUGGAGUGAAUUUCGAGGACUCGUGAUGUUCUGUACCCCGA
RNA transcript from Poecile atricapillus (Black-capped chickadee), 1118 nucleotides. It is a transcript of the gene named PAXX non-homologous end joining factor, with no coding region annotated. The transcript is spliced from 6 exons. NCBI's taxonomy places the organism in Eukaryota, Metazoa, Chordata, Aves, Passeriformes, Paridae. The record is from RefSeq and is a predicted model, not a curated record.